CUUGCUGCUUUGCUGACGAGUGGCGGACGGGUGAGUAAUGUCUGGGAAACUGCCUGAUGGAGGGGGAUAACUACUGGAAACGGUAGCUAAUACCGCAUAACGUCGCAAGACCAAAGAGGGGGACCUUAGGGCCUCUUGCCAUCGGAUGUGCCCAGAUGGGAUUAGCUAGUAGGUGGGGUAACGGCUCACCUAGGCGACGAUCCCUAGCUGGUCUGAGAGGAUGACCAGCCACACUGGAACUGAG
RNAcentral lists this ribosomal RNA (244 nucleotides) under Escherichia coli. Its description in RNAcentral is "partial 16S ribosomal RNA". It matches the Rfam family "Bacterial small subunit ribosomal RNA", at positions 79 to 323 of the family's 1533-position model. Lineage: Bacteria; Pseudomonadati; Pseudomonadota; Gammaproteobacteria; Enterobacterales; Enterobacteriaceae. The record is from RNAcentral.